Long non-coding RNA from Pipistrellus kuhlii (Kuhl's pipistrelle), 662 nucleotides. RefSeq lists it as uncharacterized. Lineage: Eukaryota; Metazoa; Chordata; Mammalia; Chiroptera; Vespertilionidae. The transcript is spliced from 3 exons. The record is from RefSeq and is a predicted model, not a curated record.
AGGGUCCCGGCCAGGCAGCUUAGAGAGCCGCAGGGAUGCUGCCAGUGACCGCUCACCUGGCGGCCUGAAAGGGCACAUCAUGCAGUUUCAGGCUCAGGCCUGGGAGUGUUCACGCAUUUGGGGUCAGGUCCCUUCUCCUCUCUGGCCAGCUCUGGGCGCCUGUGUGAGCCACCCAUCCUCCAAGCCUGAGUUCCUGCAGCUUCCAGAUGGGGACAGCGCCGGGAGUUCCGGUCCAUCAUGGUCAGAGGACACGGGUUUCUCCCAGGCGCCUGCUCCAACGCAGGCUCGAGAGCUUCCACAGUGAGGACCUGAUGCCCAGCAGAGACACAGCACUCUGCCCCACGAUGCCAGCACCCCAGAACACAGUACCCUCAGCAGCCAGGAGAACCUGCCACCCAGAUGGGCCUCUCCACCAGGAGGCAUCCAGAAGAGGGGUGUGGCCCAGCACCAGGCCUGGGGGUCCCUGUGCCCCAGGAGCAGAGGAGGGUCACCCUGGAGUAGUUCCUGGAGGAGCGUGACCAGGCUCUCCCCUACUCUGUGCGGCCCUGGAGCACUCUUUCCUCACUCCCCCCUCACAUGGACCUGGACCAGAGGGGAGACCUGGGCAGCAAAGUCACAGAGAGGGAUGGGGUGGGCUGGCAACCUGGCGGCAGAGCUGGCUG